This 213-nucleotide unclassified non-coding RNA is filed under the name Glomerales sp. RNAcentral describes it as "partial contains 5.8S ribosomal RNA and internal transcribed spacer 2". The stretch from base 1 to 71 matches the Rfam family "5.8S ribosomal RNA", at positions 84 to 154 of the family's 154-position model. The record is from RNAcentral. Lineage: Eukaryota; Fungi; Glomeromycota; Glomeromycetes; Glomerales; Glomeraceae.
GUGAAUCAUCAAAUCUUUGAACGCAAAUUGCACUCUCUGGUAUUCCGGAGGGUAUGCCUGUUUGAGGGUCAUUUAAAUAAAAAUCGUUGGUUUGUUGCCGCGUUGCGUAGUGACGCAUCGUGUUUGAGUCGUCUUACGGUCAGUUAAGGGUCCUAAAAUUUUGCAUUAAUUUCGAACGUAUCUGAUUAAUGUACGUACGUUGGUGAUAUCGGA